RNAcentral lists this long non-coding RNA (534 nucleotides) under Chinchilla lanigera (long-tailed chinchilla). RNAcentral's name for it is "lncRNA (ENSCLAG00000029253.1)". The record is from RNAcentral. Lineage: Eukaryota; Metazoa; Chordata; Mammalia; Rodentia; Chinchillidae.
GGAAGGCUGGGGCCCAUCUGUGUGAGGAGUGUGGUCAGGGGUCCUCAGCCCAGCUGGGACACCAGCCAGGGUCCUCUUCCGGUCGAGUGCAGAGUUUUUGCUUGGAAAGUGGCAACUGAGAGCAGAAAGGCCUUGUGCUUUCACCAGAAGGAAAUGUUGCAUAUGUCAUCAGCUGAGCUUUUUCUAGACCAGGUUUCCAGUGGGAGAUAGUGCAUGUGCUAAUUCCUGCAGAAUUAACUCCCGCCCAUGUAAUUCUCCAAAUUGGCCUGUGCGUGGCUGGCAUCUUCCCAGGCAGAUGAAUUCCUCUUGGCUGUGGAGCCACAUGAGUGACGGUGAGCUGGAACCAGAAGAAAACAGGGACUGAAGCCAGGUAAGCUGUCAACCCUGGGCUGCAGAAAAACAGAAGAAAAGAGUAAAAAAAAUGGAGAGAAAGGGUCAGUGGGCAUGGAAGAGGGAAGGGGUUGAAUGGACCCCUACCAACCCAUGCCUGUCAUUAUCAUGUUUUCAACCUUUAGAAAUUUGAUGAGUGAAAAA